RNAcentral lists this transfer RNA (69 nucleotides) under Hieromantis kurokoi. RNAcentral's name for it is "tRNA-Met". The record is from RNAcentral. Lineage: Eukaryota; Metazoa; Arthropoda; Insecta; Lepidoptera; Stathmopodidae.
UUAAAAAUAAGCUAAAAUAAGCUUUUGGGUUCAUUUCGCAGGGAAUAAAGAUAAUAUCUUUUUUUUAAA